RNAcentral lists this long non-coding RNA (3457 nucleotides) under Takifugu rubripes (torafugu). RNAcentral describes it as "lncRNA (ENSTRUG00000029348.1)". The record is from RNAcentral. Lineage: Eukaryota; Metazoa; Chordata; Actinopteri; Tetraodontiformes; Tetraodontidae.
AAUGAACUCUUCUACAUAGAAAGUGAAUGGCUGAAACACUGGUUUAUAACCAUGACAAGACACCACAUCACUAUUACAGCUUCCCUGUCGAGAAGACAUGUGCCUCAUUCUGCCUCCUGUUCUGGAACAAGAGGUCGAUUUAAGAUAAUCGCCGUUCCUCCUGAAGUAGCCAACAGACGAGAUGUGAAGCAGAGGAGCUGGAGCAGCGCCGCUUCCACGCCACAUCCUGGAGGUCACAGUACCGAGCACGUCCAGAUAGAAGCCAUGGCCACUUCCUCCACGAUUGGCCGUUUCUCAGUCGUGAGCGCCGAAGAUGACAUUACACAGAGGACGCGCUGCAGCCGUUACUCCGCUCCCCCUGACUUCUACCUGGAUACUCCUCCCUCCAUGGCCAAGCGGGCGUCCGUGUCGCACACCCUGACGUCCCCCUCUGUCCCCACGGAUAUCACGGUGCACGGCCGUUCCCUCUCCUCGGACUCUGGUGCCGAGAGCAGCCCAGUGAAGCUGGCUCCAGCCACGCCAUCCAAACGCACCCGCACGGAACGCAGAGGAAGUGACCUCAUGAAAAGGGCGGUGGCCUUCCUCCGGCGCUCGGGACGCAGCAGCAGUUUACAGAGCUCCGACUCCCCGGGUAGACACGGAGGCAUGUACGGGUCGGCGUACGCCAGCAGUGAUAAUGAUUCUGAUACCUACCGAGCAGCCAUUCUACUAGUAGAUGGCAAACAUCACCAGAGAAUGAAAUGAGAGCUGUUCUGUUUUCUUUAAUGGGGAGGGAAAUGAUAGAUUUCUGUUUUUCUUACACUGGUGUUUUUUUUUUUUUUUUGUUUUUUUCCCCCUCUUUGAUUAUACUUCUCUACAGGCUGGUCUAAUAGCUCACUGGCUUCAUUUGUUCUGUCUUUGCCAGAAGCUUAAAACAAUUAAAGCAGGGGUGGGGAACCUUUUUCAUAUCGAGGGCCAUUUCAAUUUUUAUAAAGUCCUCCGAGGGCCAUACUAUUAUGAACACAUAGGGAUGCAAAAAAAAGUCUAUAACCACUGUUACUAAGUCUCAUGAUUACUGCAUUUGAGUUUGAAUUAUUUAACACACAUGCAUAUAAAAUCACCAAAAAAAAUAGAAUAAAAUGACAAGUAAAAUAUGUUUUCAUGGUCAUACAAAACAAUAAAAAGAGGUGCAGAGUUGAGGCAAGAGACCUGUCAGGGCCUGUUCGAGGCCUCUACUUACAAAAACUGCAAUACAACAAGAUAAUCAAGAAAAUAAAUGGAAAAGAUAAAGACAAUAAUAAUAACUAGAAAUCACUCGGAGAGCGCAGACCUCCGCCAAGCGCAACAAUUCCUGGCAUAUUGUGAUUUCCACCAUAAAUAUUAGUCCCACAUAUACUUCGACUACAUAUUUAGAUUCCUUGACCAUAAAAACAUACCGUUAGUCACUGGAAUCAUAACAAUAUAUGUCUUAGUUCAAUAGUUAUUCACGAAAAAAAAUUCACCCUUUGAAACAAUUUUAAUUUGUGCGGCACGAGCGCCUCAGCGGCGGCUACGAGGCACGUUCACGAACUCUCCUUCGGCGUGAGGUUUCAGCUUCGUGGCUAUUAAUUCACUCACCACAAAACUUGCACGCGUAACAUUCUCUCUGUCGGUACAUGGUCGUGUGAAACCUGCUCGUUGAGCCUCCAAACUCCGGCGAAGAGCGUUAAUUUUAUCCAAACUCAUCUGUCCUUUCAACUCGCCGAGUUUAGCGUGUUUCGCUAAGCAUUUUUCGUCCGUGUCAAUCAGUCCAGCCCACUACGUACAUCACAUGCUGUGUUCACUGACCCUGACCUUGACUCGGACAUAACAUAACCGUCUGUUUUAUCUCAGAAAACGGGAAAAUAUUUCCUCUUGUUACGAAAGAAAUUUCAGGAUACGAAAGGCAAAAAUACGCUACCGCUGCUACUCGCAGCUCGCGGAGUUUAGCGAACGGUCCGACUGUAUAAGUGCACAUAUAAAAUAUAAAAAUCUUAUUGCGUUGCGGGCAGGUAGAAAUGGUCUCGUAGCCCGUAUACGGCCCGGAGGCCGGAGGUUCCCCACCCCUGAAUUAAAGGAUCAAGAGAUGAUAUUUAAGGAUAAUAUCAUAAUCUGGUGUUAGGUUCAAACGACCUGAAACAUGAGAAACAAAUGAGGCAAAGACAACAGUUUAGAAAUUUACUUGCAAGGAGAACGGAGAGAUGUGCUCAGUUACAGAUCUCCAACAUGUUCUGACGCACACCUCCCGCCAUCCUUCUUUUAUUGAGAUUAGGAGGUCCCUAGUUACACAGAAUUCAAAUGUGUCUAAGGGAGGGGAAAACACAAGAUAGCAGGUCCCAAACAAAGCAAAAGACUGUAAAUCAUAAUGGUGAGAUUAUACGUAGGUCUUCACUGAUUUGAUUAGCUUAGGUCGCACACAGCACAUUCUUCCAUAUCAGAAUAAAAGAACACCUCCUGGGUCAUGACUGCAGCUCUAUCUCCAGUCAAUGUCACUUCUCCACAGCAGCUGCAUUUCUGUCGCCCUUGACCAGAGAAGUUCAAGUUGACACAUCAAGCAUCAUGAACAUUAAGCAUUAACAAAUAAUAAGAAACAGUAAUGAGAAUCAAUAUAACAAGAAUAAAGAAUAUAACAAGGUAAAAGCAAAUAAGAGAUAACUUUAAUAUAAUGGAUCUAACAUCUGGCCUAUUUUUUUUUUUUUUAAUGCUGCUGCCUUGUUUUAAUUCCCAGUUCAGAGUUUUUAGCCACCUUGCAUCAUCAGGCGGCGAUAAACUGCAUGGCAAUUACAGCUAAACCUGCUUUAAACUCCCCGAUCCACUUAACACGUGUCUGCCACUGGCUUAAGCACUGCACUAAGGUAUUGCACGACUUUGCUGAUUAAGUGCAUCUGGCUGCUUUCCUAGUUAUAUUUUUGUUUCAUGGCUGUGCAAUUUCACACUGCAUCUUGUUUUUUGGACUUUCACAAAGCUUAUGAGAAAUAUUAAGUCUUUAAUCUCAUGUCUUCAAUCUCAUUUUUUUUUUUUUUUUGCAGGGUCAACUCUGAAGCGACUCUGUCUUGGCAAAGAGCGCGGCAGCAGUAUGUGGAAUUACAAUACCAUCAAAAAUAUUAACUAUGGUGGAACACUGACUGCAUGUGUGUCUACUCAGGGUCUGGAGCUGGGCCAGGGGCUUUUGGUCAGCCAGCGCAGCCACCUGGCAGUGCCACGCCGUCUUCCCAGCAGUGCCACGCCGUCUUCCCGGCAGCCAGUAAUGGGACUGGCUCAAGCUCAGGCCAAUAACAGCAACAGGUUGUGCCACAAACACACAGACGGGCGAUUCAGAGGUGCGUGUCAUGACAUUCACCUUUCAAAUGCAUGAAAAAUAAACAACAGUCAUAGAUGAUAGGGGUGGAUGGCUACAUGCAUGCAGUUGAUCUAAAGCAGCUAGUUUGUGUUACACUCAAAUAAAAUAAUUUUAAGUGUU